AAGCGCGCGUAGGUGUUUUNUAAGUUGGAAGUGNAAGCCCCGGGCUCNACCUNGGNAAUUGCNUUUCAAAACUAGCAGGCUAGAGUCCAGUAGAGGGUAGUGGAAUUUCCUGUGUAGCGGUGAAAUGCGUAGAUAUUAGGAGGGAACACCAGUGGCGAAGGCGGCUUUCUGGACUGUCACUGACACUGAGGCACGAAAGCGUGGGUAGCAAACAGGAUUAGAUACCCUGGUAGUCCACGCCGUAAAC
RNAcentral lists this ribosomal RNA (247 nucleotides) under uncultured bacterium. RNAcentral's name for it is "partial 16S ribosomal RNA". It matches the Rfam family "Bacterial small subunit ribosomal RNA", at positions 563 to 807 of the family's 1533-position model. The record is from RNAcentral.